RNAcentral lists this ribosomal RNA (782 nucleotides) under bacterium LGM50. Its description in RNAcentral is "bacterial SSU rRNA". It matches the Rfam family "Bacterial small subunit ribosomal RNA", at positions 63 to 825 of the family's 1533-position model. The record is from RNAcentral.
CGAGCGAAUGGAUUAAGAGCUUGCUCUUAUGAAGUUAGCGGCGGACGGGUGAGUAACACGUGGGUAACCUGCCCAUAAGACUGGGAUAACUCCGGGAAACCGGGGCUAAUACCGGAUAACAUUUUGAACCGCAUGGUUCGAAAUUGAAAGGCGGCUUCGGCUGUCACUUAUGGAUGGACCCGCGUCGCAUUAGCUAGUUGGUGAGGUAACGGCUCACCAAGGCAACGAUGCGUAGCCGACCUGAGAGGGUGAUCGGCCACACUGGGACUGAGACACGGCCCAGACUCCUACGGGAGGCAGCAGUAGGGAAUCUUCCGCAAUGGACGAAAGUCUGACGGAGCAACGCCGCGUGAGUGAUGAAGGCUUUCGGGUCGUAAAACUCUGUUGUUAGGGAAGAACAAGUGCUAGUUGAAUAAGCUGGCACCUUGACGGUACCUAACCAGAAAGCCACGGCUAACUACGUGCCAGCAGCCGCGGUAAUACGUAGGUGGCAAGCGUUAUCCGGAAUUAUUGGGCGUAAAGCGCGCGCAGGUGGUUUCUUAAGUCUGAUGUGAAAGCCCACGGCUCAACCGUGGAGGGUCAUUGGAAACUGGGAGACUUGAGUGCAGAAGAGGAAAGUGGAAUUCCAUGUGUAGCGGUGAAAUGCGUAGAGAUAUGGAGGAACACCAGUGGCGAAGGCGACUUUCUGGUCUGUAACUGACACUGAGGCGCGAAAGCGUGGGGAGCAAACAGGAUUNNAUACCCUGGUAGUCCACGCCGUAAACGAUGAGUGCUAAGUGUUA